AAAAGGUGCAGAGACAGGGAAGGUGGCAGACUGGCUCUUUGUUCAAGUGGCCACGUUUAUUUAGAACAAUAAGUUACAUUAGGUCAUUACUACCAUAACCACAUCAUUGUUUAGCAUAUCAGUAAAGUUGCUUAUUCUGCUGUUACAUUUCAAAGUUACAAUAUACAAUGUCAGGAGCUUUAUGUAGUUCUCAAGAAGGUCCAUUGUCUGAAGUUACUGUUAAGCUCCAGAACUUGGUGAAACAUUGUAGUUUUCAAGCAAGCAAGUUCCUUUAUUUCCAGGACUUAUGUGCCUAAGGUUAAGGUCAAAGCAGAUAAGACUCAAGCAUGGAUGGCAUUACCAUAGCAACUGGGCAUCCUAUGCCUUUGCACAGAAACUUUCCCAGGCACCAACCAUGCCACAGCCAUGAAGUCAUCAAGGACCCCAAUACCAAACACAGAACUCUUGCAAAAAGAUAUAUUUUAAGGUUUUUUUUUAAUGUGUGUGUGUUAUUGUUUCUUUGUUUUUGCAAGGAAUUGGUUAAUAUGAUUCUGAAGGCUGACUGUAGAGUAGGUCAUCAGGAAAGGUAGGCUGGAACUCUUGGAUGUGGAUCACACCUGUGACCACAAGCAGAAUUUCUGUCUCAAAUCUCUCUCUUGCUUUUGAUGCCUUUCAAUUGAUUGAAUUACAGCCUGACAGACAGAAGUCUAGGUUAAUGUCCCUUACUUAAAAUCAACUGAUUAUGAAUUUGACUUAUGUCUACAACAUAUUUUCACAAUAACACUUAGAUUAGUACUUGAUUGGAUAACUGGGGAGUGCAGCCCAGCCAAGUUAACACAUUGAAAAUCCAUUUUAUAUUGUAUAUUACAAAACUUGUAUAUUACAAAACUUCAACUUUAUUGGAAAAGGAGUUAUGUGAAUACCGGUUAGCACCAUCUUUUCUGUCUUAAAAAUUUUCCUUUCAGUUUUUAAAUAAAGUCCCU
RNAcentral lists this long non-coding RNA (962 nucleotides) under Marmota monax (woodchuck). Lineage: Eukaryota; Metazoa; Chordata; Mammalia; Rodentia; Sciuridae. The record is from RNAcentral.